AGUUUGAUCCUGGCUCAGAGUGAACGCUGGCGGCAGGCCUAACACAUGCAAGUCGAACGGCAGCACAGUAAGAGCUUGCUCUUAUGGGUGGCGAGUGGCGGACGGGUGAGGAAUACAUCGGAAUCUACUCUUUCGUGGGGGAUAACGUAGGGAAACUUACGCUAAUACCGCAUACGACCUACGGGUGAAAGCGGAGGACCUUCGGGCUUCGCGCGGUUGAAUGAGCCGAUGUCGGAUUAGCUAGUUGGCGGGGUAAAGGCCCACCAAGGCGACGAUCCGUAGCUGGUCUGAGAGGAUGAUCAGCCACAUUGGGACUGAGACACGGCCCAAACUCCUACGGGAGGCAGCAGUGGGGAAUAUUGGACAAUGGGCGCAAGCCUGAUCCAGCCAUGCCGCGUGAGUGAUGAAGGCCUUAGGGUUGUAAAGCUCUUUCACCGGUGAAGAUAAUGACGGUAACCGGAGAAGAAGCCCCGGCUAACUUCGUGCCAGCAGCCGCGGUAA
This 501-nucleotide ribosomal RNA is filed under the name uncultured bacterium. Its description in RNAcentral is "bacterial SSU rRNA". It matches the Rfam family "Bacterial small subunit ribosomal RNA", at positions 10 to 523 of the family's 1533-position model. The record is from RNAcentral.